Molecule: ribosomal RNA, 452 nt
Filed under: uncultured bacterium
Lineage: Bacteria
Description: partial 16S ribosomal RNA
Rfam family: Bacterial small subunit ribosomal RNA
Source: RNAcentral
GAUGAACGCUGGCGGCGUGCCUAACACAUGCAAGUCGAGCGAUUUACUUCGGUAAAGAGCGGCGGACGGGUGAGUAACGCGUGGGUAACCUGCCCUGUACACACGGAUAACAUACCGAAAGGUAUGCUAAUACGAGAUAAUAUGCUUUUAUCGCAUGGUAGAAGUAUCAAAGCUUUUGCGGUACAGGAUGGACCCGCGUCUGAUUAGCUAGUUGGUGAGGUAACGGCUCACCAAGGCGACGAUCAGUAGCCGACCUGAGAGGGUGAUCGGCCACAUUGGAACUGGGACACGGUCCAAACUCCUACGGGAGGCAGCAGUGGGGAAUAUUGCACAAUGGGCGAAAGCCUGAUGCAGCAACGCCGCGUGAGCGAUGAAGGCCUUCGGGUCGUAAAGCUCUGUCCUCAAGGAAGAUAAUGACGGUACUUGAGGAGGAAGCCCCGGCUAACUACGUG